GAUGAAGAACGUAGCGAAAUGCGAUAAGUAAUGUGAAUUGCAGAAUUCAGUGAAUCAUCGAAUCUUUGAACGCACAUUGCGCCCGUCAGUAUUCUGGCGGGCAUGCCUGUUCGAGCGUCAUUACGCCCCUCAAGUCCCCUGUGGACUUGGUGUUGGGGAUCGGCGAGGCUGGUUUUCCAGCACAGCCGUCCCUUAAAUUAAUUGGCGGUCUCGCCGUGGCCCUCCUCUGCGCAGUAGUAAAACACUCGCAACAGGAGCCCGGCGCGGUCCACUGCCGUAAAACCCCCCAACUUUUUAUAGUUGACCUCGAAUCAGGUAGGACUACCCGCUGAACUUAAGCUUAUCAAUAAGCGGAGGA
Molecule: unclassified non-coding RNA, 358 nt
Filed under: soil metagenome
Description: partial contains 5.8S ribosomal RNA, internal transcribed spacer 2, and large subunit ribosomal RNA
Rfam family: 5.8S ribosomal RNA (bases 1-120)
Source: RNAcentral